GGGCGAGGUCUCUGGUUCAAGUCCAGGAUGGCCCAUUAUCAGGGGCGCGCUCUACCACUGAGCUAAUAGCCC
RNAcentral lists this transfer RNA (72 nucleotides) under Olea europaea subsp. europaea. Its description in RNAcentral is "tRNA-Ile". The record is from RNAcentral. Lineage: Eukaryota; Viridiplantae; Streptophyta; Magnoliopsida; Lamiales; Oleaceae.